ACGAAGGGGGCUAGCGUUGCUCGGAAUUACUGGGCGUAAAGCGCACGCAGGUGGCUGAGUCAGUCGAUUGUGAAAGCCCUGGGCUUAACCUGGGAAUUGCAGUCGAUACUACUCAGCUAGAGUAUGGGAGAGGGUAGUGGAAUUCCCGGUGUAGCGGUGAAAUGCGCAGAUAUCGGGAGGAACACCAAUUGCGAAGGCAGCUCGCUGGGACGUUACUGACGCUGAGACGCGAAAGCGUGGGGAGCAAACAGGA
Molecule: ribosomal RNA, 253 nt
Filed under: uncultured prokaryote
Description: partial 16S ribosomal RNA
Rfam family: Bacterial small subunit ribosomal RNA
Source: RNAcentral